This 58-nucleotide ribosomal RNA is filed under the name uncultured Thermoplasmatales archaeon. Its description in RNAcentral is "partial 16S ribosomal RNA". Lineage: Archaea; Methanobacteriati; Thermoplasmatota; Thermoplasmata; Thermoplasmatales. The record is from RNAcentral.
UUCCUCAGCGGAAAUCACUCGGAAUAACCUCGUCGUGCUUUCGCACAUUGCGAAGGUU